Molecule: ribosomal RNA, 468 nt
Filed under: uncultured bacterium
Lineage: Bacteria
Description: partial 16S ribosomal RNA
Rfam family: Bacterial small subunit ribosomal RNA
Source: RNAcentral
GACGAACGCUGGCGGCGUGCUUAACACAUGCAAGUCGAACGGAAAGGCACAGCCUUUGUGGGCUGCUCGAGUGGCGAACGGGUGCGUAACACGUGAGUAACCUGCCCUUGACUUUCGGUUAACGUCAGGAAACUAGGGCUAAUAAUGGCUAGGAGCUCCUGCUGCUAGUUAUGGGAUGGAAAUUUUCGGCGGUUGGCGAUGGCAUCGCGGCUUGUUCGCCUUUUGGUGGGGUAGUGGGUUGGCAAGGUAAUGGCGGAUAGCCGGCCUGAGAGUGUGACGGGCCACAGUGGGCCUCAGGUACGGGCCAUACUGCUACGGGAGGCAGCAGUGGGAAAUAGUGCACGAUGGGCGGAAUCCGGAUGCAGCAACUCCGCGUGCUGGAUGACUGCCUUCGGGUUGUAAACCGUGUGCGCCUGGGACGAAGAGUGAGUGACGGUAAUGGGUAAGGAAGCACCGGCUAACUACGUG